CCCGCUGUUCCGUCAGCGGUAGCCUACUGAUCCAGGAUCGAUGGGUAACUGUUGGGUCUGAAGCGAUUGGGAUAAUGUAGCAGGGGCUGCAAGUACCAAUGCGGCUCAGGCG
Molecule: non-coding RNA, 112 nt
Organism: Lucilia cuprina (Australian sheep blowfly)
Lineage: Eukaryota; Metazoa; Arthropoda; Insecta; Diptera; Calliphoridae
Source: Rfam